Molecule: long non-coding RNA, 167 nt
Organism: Sphaerodactylus townsendi
Lineage: Eukaryota; Metazoa; Chordata; Lepidosauria; Squamata; Sphaerodactylidae
Exons: 3
Source: RefSeq, a predicted model, not a curated record
CAUCUGUACACAGGAAGUUUAGCUCUAAUAAGGUGGACAAUAUUGUAAUCUUUUUUUCCUCUUUUUUCUUUUUCUUUCCUUGUUUAUUAUGGAAGACUAAAACCGGUCAUGUGUAUCACUUUCCACGUUACUCUUGUAUUAUAUGAAAAUAAAAUUUAUUGAAUUAA